This 497-nucleotide ribosomal RNA is filed under the name uncultured bacterium. Its description in RNAcentral is "partial 16S ribosomal RNA". The record is from RNAcentral.
ACCAGACGAUGCGGUUACCGCGGCUGCUGGCACGGAGUUAGCCGGUGCUUCUUCUGCGAGUAACGUCACAGAUGUAAGGUAUUAACUUACACCCUUUCCUCCUCGCUGAAAGUGCUUUACAACCCGAAGGCCUUCUUCACACACGCGGCAUGGCUGCAUCAGGGUUUCCCCCAUUGUGCAAUAUUCCCCACUGCUGCCUCCCGUAGGAGUCUGGGCCGUGUCUCAGUCCCAGUGUGGCUGAUCAUCCUCUCAGACCAGCUAGGGAUCGUCGCCUAGGUGAGCCUUUACCUCACCUACUAGCUAAUCCCACCUGGGCUUAUCCAUCAGCGCAAGUCCCGAAGGUCCCCUGCUUUCCCCCGUAGGGCGUAUGCGGUAUUAGCAGUCGUUUCCAACUGUUAUCCCCCACAAUGGGCAAAUUCCCAGGCAUUACUCACCCGUCCGCCGCUCGUCAUCUUCAAAAGCAAGCUUUUGAAAUGUUACCGCUCGACUUGCAUGUG